Non-coding RNA from Pelobates cultripes (western spadefoot toad), 729 nucleotides. Lineage: Eukaryota; Metazoa; Chordata; Amphibia; Anura; Pelobatidae. The record is from the annotation of a GenBank genome assembly.
UGUCUGAUGCCUACCCGAUGCCCCGGAUAGACGAACUGCUGGAUAAGAUGGCACGAGGCCAGUACCUCACUGUUACACAGUCUCCGUUCCACAGACUGGUUAUAUUGUUAAUGUACACUUCUGUUUAUUGAGACUCUGUUUAACGGCCUGCAGGCCAGGCAAACGGACUAUGCGAACUGAUUAUAAAGCGUCUUUCGUCAGUACGAAGGGCCGACCACCCAGCCCUAAGCUUGUGCCGCCACUUAACCCCGUCACCCCACAAAGUCGCCGGCCACCCUGCGAGCAGAGGGUGCCGUUUAUCAACCUGCCCUCAGGCACUGCGGUUUGUGGUUAACUUCAGGUUAAAUGCCUCUCCCGGGCGGGCCCCAUUCGCACCACGAACGGAUGGCACAACCAGACAGGUAGCGGGGACUCGCAUGAUUCUGUACCCGGCCUUCGUUCCAUACAUUCAACGUCGAAGUCCUGCUGGCCAUUGACAGACCCAAAAACCUGGCCGCCAUCGAGGGCCUGGAAACCUACAACUGAACAGCUUUUCAUACGGUGGAAAUCUCGUCCUCUGUUCGUGGAAACAGGGCGCUAUUCGCACACCCAAUGCAUCUAACGGAGAGCUAUCGAAUGAUAUGUAGAGGGAACUAUAUGCACUAUAUAAUGCUUGAGUUAUGCAUUUUUAUGUUGUUUUCUGGUUCAUAAUAAAGCAUGGACGUUUUGGGCACUUGGAGAUAAUUAGAU